UGACUUGACAUGACUCUUUAUGCUGAAGGGAGAGUUCCUGAGUGCUGUAUGACACAACCCAGCCAAGCUGUCUGCAUUUGGGAGGCAUUUUCUCCAGCUGGAUUGUCCUCUGUGAAGAGGCUUAACAGCAUUGUCCUGCAUCUUCUCUUCGUGGUGAGGUUUAUACACAUACGUGGGAGUGGUGCUCAGGUGCUUACAGUAGAAGACUGAAAUGGAACAAACACAGAUKAUUGUCAUUUGGUUCUUGUUGAAAUGCAGUGCUGUUGCUAUUCUGCCACUGUAAUCAGGCAGGCACUUYAGAGUUCAGCAGGGUCAUAUCAGUUAAUUCUAGGCUGUUUCCCC
Nothoprocta perdicaria is the source of this 342-nucleotide long non-coding RNA. RefSeq lists it as uncharacterized. NCBI's taxonomy places the organism in Eukaryota, Metazoa, Chordata, Aves, Tinamiformes, Tinamidae. The transcript is spliced from 3 exons. The record is from RefSeq and is a predicted model, not a curated record.